UACGGGGGGGGCAAGCGUUGUUCGGAAUUACUGGGCGUAAAGGGCUCGUAGGCGGCCAACUAAGUCAGACGUGAAAUCCCUCGGCUUAACCGGGGAACUGCGUCUGAUACUGGAUGGCUUGAGUUUGGGAGAGGGAUGCGGAAUUCCAGGUGUAGCGGUGAAACGCGUAGAUAUCUGGAGGAACACCGGUGGCGAAGGCGGCAUCCUGGACCAACACUGACGCUGAGUGAGCGAAAGCCAGGGGAGCAAACGGG
This 254-nucleotide ribosomal RNA is filed under the name uncultured bacterium. RNAcentral's name for it is "partial 16S ribosomal RNA". It matches the Rfam family "Bacterial small subunit ribosomal RNA", at positions 524 to 776 of the family's 1533-position model. The record is from RNAcentral.